Molecule: long non-coding RNA, 335 nt
Filed under: Sus scrofa (pig)
Lineage: Eukaryota; Metazoa; Chordata; Mammalia; Artiodactyla; Suidae
Description: lncRNA (ENSSSCG00070008355.1)
Source: RNAcentral
UAAACAUUAUUCUGUGUUACCUCCCAAGAAGAGGGGUAUUCCCCACGUGGCUCUGCUGUUAAAGAUAGGAUGAGGUCUCUGGGAAGGAGAUGACCUCCUGAGGGCCACGCAUGUGAAGAAAGAGGAAGUGGCGGAGGAGCAAGAAGGAGAAGAUAUGGCUAUCAGUUCAGGAAGUGCUCUCCGGUCUAUUCCCACGAGGUAGAUGCUGUGAUGGUCUUCCCAUCAGCCGUGCUGGGAAAGAACUGAUUUGGAAAUGCUUAAAAUACAGUACAUUUGAUGUAGAGGUAAGAGGUAAGAAUUUUGUUACAUUUAAAAUCUGCAUCAUAGAUUCCUUG